Long non-coding RNA from Oncorhynchus tshawytscha (Chinook salmon), 422 nucleotides. The record is from Ensembl. Lineage: Eukaryota; Metazoa; Chordata; Actinopteri; Salmoniformes; Salmonidae.
GUGGUGGUGGGGAUUAGCAUCAUCAGAGUGGUAGUGGGGAUUAGCAUCAUCAGUGUGGUAGUGGGGAUUAGCAUCAUCAGCGUGGUGGUGGGGAUGAGCAUCAUCAGAAAGUGGGGAUUAGCAUCAUCAGAGUGGUAGUGGGGAUUAGCAUCACCAGUGUGGUGGGGAUUAGCAUCAUCAGUGUGGUAGUGGGGAUUAGCAUCACCAGUGUGGUAGUGGGGAUUAGCAUCAUCAUUGUGGUAGUGGGGAUUAGCAUCAUCAGCAUGGUAGUGGGGAUUAGCACUAUCAGUGUGGUAGUGGGGAUUAGCAUCAUCAGCGUGGUGGUCGGGAUUAGCAUCAUCAGAGUGGUAGUGGGGAUUAGCAUCAUCAGAGUAGUAGUGGGGAUUAGCAUCAUCAUUGUGGUGGUGGGGAUUAGCAUCAUC